Long non-coding RNA from Rosa rugosa (rugosa rose), 2066 nucleotides. RefSeq lists it as uncharacterized. Lineage: Eukaryota; Viridiplantae; Streptophyta; Magnoliopsida; Rosales; Rosaceae. The transcript is spliced from 3 exons. The record is from RefSeq and is a predicted model, not a curated record.
ACAGAUUUUAACAGUAAAAUCAGGAGAAGAAGAUUAUCGUGAUACAUCUCACCUGCUAAGACAGGCCUCACCUUAUAUGGAAAUCAAGUUUAAUAAUGCUGAAGACCCUUCAAAUAUUCCGAACAAAAGGCAAAUCCAGUCUUUGUCUAGAACUGAGCAGCGCAAAAGAAUGAAAUUAACCGGUUCUGAGUCUUGCGUGCGGCACAAAGAAUCUACAAGGUGGAAUUAAGUAGUGGUUCAAAACCGUGUAAUGUUGACACUGCAGAUGGAGAGAGAAACCAUCAGAUUAUGCAGAGUUUUGCUAAAGCUAUAUGGAAUGUUUUGAAGGAUUACAACAAAAAACUAUAGGUAAUCAAGAGUCUCAUACAUUCAAUUCAUGUAGUUAGUUAGGUAAACUGAUUCCUAUCAUCCAGUUCCUAAUUUUGAUGCCCAUUUGUUGAUCAAGCUGAGGCAGUAUUCAUUCUUUACUUUGGUUCCUUUCCUAACUAGCUCAACUUCCAUCAAUUAUAUGUUCAAAAGAAAACCUACUCAUCUAUCUGGUCAUAAGUAGGUGGCGGAUGAUGAAAUCAAUGUAGUCGGAAUCACAUUAAUGUAAAGCAUCCAUUUUCUUGAAUCAAUGUAGGUCCUGUCAUGGAGGAUUUGAAAUGCGUUGCUGUACUACCAUUGUACCAUAUAUAUGUUAAUGUUAUUCAUUUUGAACCUCCCUACCUUGGAUUUGCUUUAUUCUGAAUCUUUCAACCUGCUUCACUUCUCCAAUUGUUUCUCUAGCUUGUCUUGAACAAAUCUCAAAAACCUUUGUUCUUAUCUUUUUAAGAGAAAAUUUGCAUUGCUUCUGUGUUAUCAUGUAAAGUUGGAAUAGAUAUCUAGAAGGGAAAUUUGUAAUGUUUUUGUCUGUUUCUCCUUUGGUUAUUGUCACAGUGGUCCAGGCAGAGCUGGUAUAUGCACCACACCAUUGCAUUCCCACUUGGUUAAUGAGGGUUUUGCUAAACUGUAGCAUCUUCCAUAUAACAGGAAAGUGACUAAACUGUAUUCCAGGUUGCAGAUGAACUUGUAGCAGAGUUUUCUGACCCUAUCAAUGGUGUCACAUCCCCUGAUCAAAUUGACGAGGUGCGCAUUGAAGUGGCUGAUUAUAUACAGAGUUUGAUGUAGAAAUGUGACUGCCAAGAUGUUUUUUGAGUAAGGCUAGCUAGUUUUGGCUUUGAAGCAAAGCUUGGUGUGGAGCUUUUGUACAUUGUUGCUCAUAUGUUUCCAAGCUAGCUUUUGUAAGUUUAGGGGUUUAUUUUGUGAAUUAUGUUGAAUCAUGAAAUUUGGAAAGAAAAUUAAUGGGAAAGCCCCUUAUUUUGGAUGAUGAGAAAUGCAAUUUUUUUCCCAGCAAUAGCUAAAUGCAAACUUUUCACAUCAUGCUUGUCAAAAUAAAGUGAAGUAUAUUAAAGUAUAAUAAAACAGUAAUGCCAAGGAAAACGAAGUCAGUUGAGAGAUUAGAAAUCAAUAUCAAAAAUGAAAUCGAUGUGCUAUGAUUAUCAAUAUAUCGAAUUGUAACUCAAAACCGAUGUAAUCAAAACUACUGCACAUCGAUUUCUAAUCACCAAACCGUAAUCUAUUAUGAACAUACAAAUCACCUACCAUGGAGCAAACUGAUGUGUGGUCAAAAGGUGAACAUCAUUUCUGAAUAAAAAAACGAUGUAGAAUAAAGAUACAGACAUCGUUCCUAAGAAAAUAAUGUGGCAACCUACAUGUAAAAAUGGCCACGAACAAACAAUACUCAUGGGAACUGAUGUCUACAAGUGUACUGGACAUCGCUUCUGGAAUAGAAAUCGAUGCAAAUGUUCACGUAGGUAUUGUUCGACAUAUACUUUAUUAAGCAUAAAAUGUGAAAAUAUGAAGAAUUAGACAUACCUAACAUACAAAAAUAUGAUGAUUAUAACGAUUAUACAUCGAUUUGUUUUUUAGAAUCGAUGUUGGUUGUUGUCUGGGACAUCGGUUGAAAACGCGCUUAUACUGAUGUCUAUACUUUUCUCUACACCCACUAAGACAUCGGUCGAAAAUUAGUUUAACAUCGGUCCAGA